GCUCCUACUCCCCCACUCCGAGGUCUCCAGCUCCCACAGCUCUGUUUGCAUUUGUUCGAAGCUUUAGGCUACUUGUCUGCAGAGCUGCAGGCCAUCUCUGAGGACCGCUCCAGGCCUAAUAGCAGGAUCCUCAGGACCACUCCCGGGGUGCAACAUGGUCACCAGCUGUGCAGUUUGGGGUUUCUAGUGCCCUCAGAAUUCAGAGGGUGCUGCCAACAGGCCUCAUCUGUACUUGAAAUGAGGGAGCGAUUGACCUUAUAGAAAGGUCUUUUUCUUGAAGUCAGAUCCUCUAACACAUUUAUCCGUGGGACUCAGGACAUCCAGAGAAAAUGUCCAUACCCCCUUUUUGAUGUGGAGAGCCCCAGGGAAAACCGACAGUCUUCAAGAUUGGAGGCCCCUCCCCCACCUCCCAGUCCAAUUCCCCCAAGUGAGUUUAAGUAGGUGGAACGGGAGGUGGGGGGUUGGAUUUUCAUUAUCAUCAGAAAGAAAGGAGCACUAAAGAUAUCAAUAGAAUGGAGUUUUAUAAAUGGCAUUGUCUCAAUUCAUCACCAGUCAGUGUACACAGCGUUAUUUUUAUCUAAAUUAUUUUCAGAACAAGAAUAAGAUUCAUAUGUUAAAUUAAACAACUGUUACUCUAUUUAGUUUCAUUUUAUGGUUAAUGAAACCAUGAAGACAAUGAGAACUUGUAAUAGGUCUGGAAAAUAUUAUUACUGAGCUGAUAAAAAAGAAUGUAAAUACUGGCCUAUAAAUUAGCGCGGUACACUCAAAUAAGAAAUAUUUCUAUUUUAACGUGAACUAAUGAAAACAAAUACUCCACAGAGAAAAUGACAAGGAACAACUUGUUGCCAGGCAGGUGACAAAUCAAGAAACAUGAAGCUAAACUGAAGAAAGAUGAGUCACUCACCAGGUGACGAAAUCACGAAAUGAAAUUACACAGUGUCUCGUCUGAUUUGUGCUGCCGUAACGGAAUGUCUGAAGACAGAUCAUUUAUAAAGAAGAUCCAUUUACUCUGGCUCAUGGAUCUACAAGGCCAAGAGCAAGACGCUACCAUCUUUUCAGUUUCUGGUAGACAGCUCUUCCUUGACUCCCUUCAGGAAACGCAAAACAUGGGCCGACCUGAGCUGGGACUUGGCUGAGAAGCAGAACCAUCCAAUCAACAGUCCCUCAAUGUCCACCCAGCUGGGACCUCUCUGCUCCCUGGCUAAGGCCUCAGGGACCUCCAGGUAGAGUGGGAAAGACCCAGGCUACUGGGGAGCAGGGCUCCUUCCUGGAAAGCUCUCCUACCUUCAUUCCGGGAGCAAGGGUCACCAAAGUUGUUUAAGACCAUGGAGGUGGGGGGAGGGUGCAAAUGGGGCCUGGCUUGGAGCCUCCACCUUUCUUCAUCAUACCAUGGUAUCUGCUGAAGCUGAUCAGAAUCCAGGCCUUAGCCCAGAGGUGUCCAGAGACGGCAUCUUCUGGAAGGCUCUUGGUGAGUCUACAGGGGGAAUUGGGUGUGCUGAUGCUGUAGAAUCCAGGACACAGAAGAUCCUUGCAAUGGUUGAAUCCCAGUCAUCGCAGGGGACCAUAAAAUCCUCACAGAGCAGAAGAGGAGAGAGACUCCAGCUGCCUGGCACAUCAGGGCACGUGACCCAUCUGCUCUCUACCCACCCCGGCAGGUCCCGCCUCUGCUUCCUUGAACCCUUCUGCUGAUGCAAGCCCUGGCCUGGGAGGGCCGGCAUCCCCCUGCAGCCCUCCUGCAGCUGCCUCCUUUGGAUCUUUUUGCGGUCUGGGCUUGCUGUUCUCUCGACAGUAGUCAGGAAGCCCUUACCCCAAAAAGUAUCUACGGGGGGCGUGGUCUACAGGGGAGACCUCCAAGGGUUCCAGGUGAGUCAUACCAAACCCAAUGUUUGUGUUGCUGGGUGACCACGGGUCAAGCCCUAAAGCUGUGCUUCUCAGCCUUCCUAAUGCUGUGACCCCUUAGUACAGUUACUCAUGUUGUGGUGACCCCUAACCAUAAAAUUGUUUCAUUGCUAUUUCAUAACUAAUUUUCCCCUUUAUGAAUUGUAAUUAUCUGAUAUGCAGGUUAUCUGAUAUGUGACCCCCAAAAGGGCUGUGUGACCCACAGGUUGAGAACUGCUGCCCUAAGGCUUUCUGUGCCCAGUCACCUCCUACCUGUAACCCUUGCCUGGUAGGCAGUGUUCACUGAGUGGCUCCAGUCUAGGCCAGAGAAGGCCACUUGGGUGAAUGUCGCUGGCCACCGUGGGCGCUCCCGGCAGGACUGUCACUCGGUAUGUCCAACCCUCCCUGUGCAUCGAGGAGACAUGAGAUCCGAGACAGGCCUGGCUGUCGGUGUGCAGACCUGGGACGGGGAAACCACAGUUGAUCGGACUGAUCCCAGCAGCCAUGCGAAGAGAAGAUGAUGAGCUUCUGCCCAGGAUGAGGUGCCUGGCAUCUGCCCUCCCUUAGCCUGAGUGGCCACUAUCUCCUUCCUCCCUCGAGUCACUACAAAUCCUUCAAAUAAAAUCCUUGACUGUUCAUGAAAAUGGAGUGGAUACCUUUACUUACCGCUGAUUCAGAGCCCUCUAGAGGGAGGAGAGGGGAUUGCACACGCUGGGGUAAAGGGCCCGACCUGGGGGAAAUCUGUCAGCGUCCUGAGAGGAGGCCACUUGGGUGCGUUGACGAAGGUCCAUAGUCAAGGGCCGAGUUAAAAUCCAGAGGAACUAUCUAAAGGUGAGUGCCGUGUGGAGAUAAAGAUCAGAGGACCGACAUAACAUAGAAAGAUUUAAAAUCACCGGGUCCUCAGUUUCCAGAGGUGGUAAGGACAGGUAAUGACAAUUUGACGGAGUUGGGGAUGCCUCUGCAGCUGUGGUGAAGUCACAGCCGGUCGGGGGUGACCACAUGGGUAUCCAUCUCAUUCCCCUCCUCCCCCAUCCCACCAAGGUUGAAAGGCCCCAAGUAGAGAGGAGGCCAGCUCGGUGCCUUUCCUUAUCUGGAUCUUUCUACGCUCUACAUCCAGGUGCGGCGUGGGGGGCAGCCCAAGGCGAGGGGUACAGCGUCAGUCUCAUUAUCUAUCAACAAUGCCACAGAUCUUGAGAAAUGAAGCCCCCAGAAGGCUCCAUCCCCGUGCAGAAGCCACAGGAGGCAAAUCUAAGGCGGCACGUGAGCGGGUGUGGGAACCUCACAGUAAGUGAGCCUGAGUGGGGCUGGAAGUGCGCUGCGGAGGUUCGGGAAAGAGAGCUGAGUUCACAGGCUCUGAUGCUCCCGGACCUCCCCAUUCUGACCCCAAACACAGCAGAUUCGCUAGGCUACCAGCCCCCGCGUGCGAGUGGCAACGGUGUGCAUGGCUCAUGGGCGGCAUCGUGCGGUCAUCGUGGGGUAGUUCCCUUUACAGCCUCCCUUGUGAGUUACUCUAGAGUCUUUCCCAGCAGAUUAGGAAAGCAGAGCAGUCCCAUCCCGAAGGGCGCAGAGCCUGGGGCGGGGUGGCAGUAGGUGGGGAAGGUUGAUAAUGUGAGGCGUCCUUCAGUGAGCUUGUUUACAGCUCGCUCAUCACCUGGGACGAAUCGCCCCCUCAAAAUGGGUUUCUGCGUCUACAAUCUGGGCAUUUGACUGCCCCUAGCUCCUUAGUCGAGUAUCUCAAGUCACAGUUCUGUUCCUUCGGGGAGCUGUUCCGGUUAGAAGGCAUCUUUCAGAAAAGAUUUCAGAUUCCGAUGUAUAUAGGAAGAACCUGGCCUUGUGAGUCGGUCAGAUCUGGAGCCAGAGAUCCCAGUCUUCCUGUACUAGCUGUGUGCUCUCGGGACAGCUGCGAGCCCUCCCAGGGCUUGUCUCCUCAUCCACAAAACAAGCACCUGAUGCCUUCAACCAGAACUGAAGGUGGAACCCAGGGACAUCAUAAAAAGCCUCCACUCACACCGUUCCAGGCUUCAGCUUGGGUGGAUUCAUGAGAAAGGAAUCCAGGUAUUGACAUUUGGAAAUGGGAGUUGCUGAAUGCCUAAGGAAUGCGGUUCUACAGCAGUACCCUGGGAAAGACAGAGAAAGAAAAAAGCUAAAGGAAGAACUAGUUUUGAAGUAUUGCAACCUUACAGCAAAAUACAAAGAGAAAUAGAACAAGGACCUCGUACCCUGCCCAAGAAACGGCAGAAGCUAACAUUUUGCUGUAUUUGCAUCGGAUUCUUAAAACAAACAACAACAACAAUAAAAGACCUUGAACACCUG
Molecule: non-coding RNA, 4191 nt
Organism: Peromyscus maniculatus bairdii (prairie deer mouse)
Lineage: Eukaryota; Metazoa; Chordata; Mammalia; Rodentia; Cricetidae
Source: RefSeq, a predicted model, not a curated record